This 492-nucleotide ribosomal RNA is filed under the name uncultured bacterium. RNAcentral describes it as "partial 16S ribosomal RNA". It matches the Rfam family "Bacterial small subunit ribosomal RNA", at positions 29 to 507 of the family's 1533-position model. The record is from RNAcentral.
AGUGAACGCUGGCGGUAGGCCUAACACAUGCAAGUCGAACGGCAGCACAGUAAGAGCUUGCUCUUACGGGUGGCGAGUGGCGGACGGGUGAGGAAUACAUCGGAAUCUACUUUUUCGUGGGGGAUAACGUAGGGAAACUUACGCUAAUACCGCAUACGACCUACGGGUGAAAGCAGGGGAUCUUCGGACCUUGCGCGAUUGAAUGAGCCGAUGUCGGAUUAGCUAGUUGGCGGGGUAAAGGCCCACCAAGGCGACGAUCCGUAGCUGGUCUGAGAGGAUGAUCAGCCACAAUGGAGCUGAGACACGGUCCAGACUCCUACGGGAGGCAGCAGUGGGGAAUAUUGGACAAUGGGCGCAAGCCUGAUCCAGCCAUACCGCGUGGGUGAAGAAGGCCUUCGGGUUGUAAAGCCCUUUUGUUGGGAAAGAAAAGCAGCAGGUUAAUACCCCGCUGUUCUGACGGUACCCAAAGAAUAAGCACCGGCUAACUUCGUG